Molecule: ribosomal RNA, 255 nt
Filed under: uncultured bacterium
Lineage: Bacteria
Description: partial 16S ribosomal RNA
Rfam family: Bacterial small subunit ribosomal RNA
Source: RNAcentral
UACGAAGGGGGGCUAGCGUUGCUCGGAAUCACUGGGCGUAAAGCGUGCGCAGGCGGCUUCUCAAGUCAGGGGUGAAAGCCCAGAGCUCAACUCUGGAAUUGCCUUUGAGACUGAGUGGCUUGAGUACGAGAGAGGUGAGUGGAAUUCCCAGUGUAGAGGUGAAAAUUCGUAGAUAUCGAGAGGAACACCGGUGGCGAAGGCGGCCAACUGGACGAAUACUGACGCUGAGACUCGAAAGCGUGGGGAGCGAACAGG